GGGGGUGAUCGGUUUCGACUCUGGUUGUCGAGACGAGUGAAGCGAGCCGUGGUCUCCGAAUCCACGUAAAAGAGUCGGAACAAACAAACAAAUGCCGACGACUACGUCGCACUCGCUGCCUAAACAGUAGCGACGUUCUCCCGUUCCCAGCCCUGCGGAGCGGAUGAGAACGCCAUCAAGCGGGGCUUACCCACCUGGCUGCACCAACCGGCCGAGCGGGGACAUUUUCGUUGGUGACGGCGGUCGUGCAGUGCCGAUGGUGAGCGACCACCGAACCUUCCAUCGGCUGCGCUCGGAGAAGAAUCGUCAAAGCGCUCGAGGACGCGGGUUCGAUUCCCGCCACCUCCACCC
This 351-nucleotide transfer-messenger RNA is filed under the name Acidimicrobiales. RNAcentral describes it as "JACOTK01 sp016178435 Standard tmRNA". It matches the Rfam family "transfer-messenger RNA". From Rfam's summary of the family: Bacterial tmRNA, also known as 10Sa RNA or SsrA, is named for its dual tRNA and mRNA-like properties. Its role is to liberate the mRNA from a stalled ribosome. RNAcentral also lists the same sequence under 1 other name. Lineage: Bacteria; Bacillati; Actinomycetota; Acidimicrobiia. The record is from RNAcentral.